UAUUCUACAAUCUACAUGCUAAAUCAUCCUUCUGAAGGUCAUGUUUUUCCACCUCAUUGUGUUUGAGUCAGCUUUGGUAGAUGGCCAUAUUUCCUGAGACACAGUGCCACAGAGAGUGAAAUAGGGGGAACAUUUUGGCCUAUGUACAAAAUAUUUUUGCUUUCAGGGGCUUUAAUUCUUUUAAAGCUGCUUUGAGUCUUGCAUAAGGCAAGUAAUAAUAAGGCAUGUAAAAAGCACUGAAUAAAGCCCAGCAACUAGAAAUAUCUGCCCUAUUACUCUUCAAUAGAGGACCUUUUUUACCUACUGUUUUCACUAAUUUGAAGACUAGUUCCCCAGUACUGAACACAGCAACACUUUUGAGAGGAAAGAUGCAUCUCAGCACUUCUUUUUAUUAUUAUUAUUUUAUUGUUAUUAGCCAUCUCCUGCUGAGGGACAAAGAGGAGGAAUUUCAACUUCUGUACUUAGUACUCAUUUCAGAGAAUAGUACCAAAAACAUUCUGCACUUCAAAGAUACGUCAACUCAAGUUUAAGAUACAUGAUUUUCACUUAAGUGUCAGUAUUUCUCAUUUUAGAUCUUUAUAAUCUAUUUAGCCUCAUCUCCAAAAGUAUACGAUGCUCAGAUUACACUGAGUCCUACUCAAACCCUAGGAGGUAAUGUUUACUUAAAGAACCAUAACUAAUACACAUUGUUGCCUGUGGGAUUACUAAGUCUAACACAACCUGAUGGUUGUCUCUGCACUCAUUUAAUGUGAGAAUUAACAACCCAUUAACUCUACACUGAAGAGAACUGAGAAAUUCACCCACACAAGGAAAUUGGGGGGACUCAAUGCUCAGAUAGGUUUUAAUCCUGGGAGAAUCUACCACAGCAUCAAGCAGAUGACUUCCAGAGAGCAACCAAUUGCUUCUCACAAGAAGAUGAACCGCAGAGCCCAGCUGCUUCUGGCCUGUAUUACAGGAGACAAGAACAACUACAAUGAAGUAAGGUUGCUAGAGAAGACUACUACAGAAACAACAGGAAAUGCAGUUUCCAGAGAUUUAUCACACUACCAAAGCACUUUUUCAAAGAAAUGGAAAACAGCACAGUGAAAGCAACAGCAGCUUCUCGAAGCCUUUCAGGAAACCCACUAACCACAAACUGCCAAAUACCCACGCCUUGGAUUUAAAAGCAGUUAAAAGAAAGUUGACAGCUAUUGUGCCCAGCUUUAAUUACUAAAGAAGAUAAAAUAUAUAUACACAUCACUUAGCAACAGCCUAAGCAAUAUCAGUAAGAAGAGCCAAGACCUGCACUUCUGAG
Molecule: long non-coding RNA, 1294 nt
Filed under: Coturnix japonica (Japanese quail)
Lineage: Eukaryota; Metazoa; Chordata; Aves; Galliformes; Phasianidae
Description: lncRNA (ENSCJPG00005018788.1)
Source: RNAcentral